Oncorhynchus nerka (sockeye salmon) is the source of this 863-nucleotide long non-coding RNA. RefSeq lists it as uncharacterized. The record is from RefSeq and is a predicted model, not a curated record. NCBI's taxonomy places the organism in Eukaryota, Metazoa, Chordata, Actinopteri, Salmoniformes, Salmonidae. The transcript is spliced from 2 exons.
CAACUCCCAGGUGUGGAGAGUCUCCUGGAACAUCACUAGCACCUUGCUGGCCUCCUCAGGAGACGACGGCUGUGUCCGACUCUGGAAAGCCAACUAUAUGGACAACUGGAAGUGUACGGGCAUCCUGAAGGGAGACGGAAGUCCAGUCAACGGGUCGUCAGGACAACCCGGUGCCAUGAAUACCAUGGUGGGGUCCACUGUCCAGACCUCCCAGAAUGCACUGAACGGUUCUGCUGCAGGAAGGUAGGAGGCCCGCGCCCUCUGUCGGCCGGCCAGAGCUGGCGACUGACUGCCUGCCUGCCUCACUGCUUUACGGUCUCUGGGCCUGACUGACACUGCAGCGCUGACCCCCCCUCCCUGGGUCAACUGACACUGUGUGUUGCGCUCAUGCAAAGAGCUUGGCUUGUGGCAAGGCCCAGCAGGCCAGACCCAGCAGGCCAGACCCAGCACGUAGGCCUGCUCCCUGUGGCAGGCCUGUCUGCUCGUCAUAAAAUGAGUGUUUGGGGGGGGGGGGGGGCUAUUUGCUACAGUUUUUUAAAUGUUCGUACAAUAAUUUUUGGUAAUUGUUUAUUGACACAAUUUUAUGUUGAUUGGAACACGAAUGUUAUUUUGAAGAAUAUAGUUUUUUAAAACAUUUUAGAUGAGUUGUUACAGAUGUCUGUGGUCCUCACAUAAUGCCCUGGAAAUGGUCAUCAUUUAAAUAUAUUUACAUACCAGGGCCAAACAUACAGGCUCGCUAAAUUGAAUAAUUGACUCUUUUGAUGUAAUCUUAUAAUAGCAUGUGUAGAAUGUUUUGAAGGGCAUAUUGAUAAAUAAUAAACGUUCAUAUUUUCAAUAUUCAAUAAAAGAAUUACCAAAACGUU